Molecule: non-coding RNA, 30 nt
Filed under: Rattus norvegicus (Norway rat)
Lineage: Eukaryota; Metazoa; Chordata; Mammalia; Rodentia; Muridae
Source: RNAcentral
GCCCACCUAUCUAAAUACUCCUUGCCUCUC